CAUAAUACUCAAUAAUAUUCAGAAUAUUUAAAAUAAAUCCAUAAUAUUUAACAAUGUUCAUAAAAUUAAAAAUAAAUUCAUAAUACUUAACAAUCGUCAUAAAAUUUAAAAUAAAUCAAUUAUACUUAACAAUGUUCAUAAAACUAAAAACUAAUCUAUGAAUUUAUUGAACCAUCUGAUAGAGAAGUACAAUCUGCAGUUGGAUUAUGCGGUGAAGAUCUUUUUUUGUUCUUCAAUGAUUUCAUCUGAUCUUUUAUUUGCUUUUCUAUCUGCACUCGCAUUUGCUCUUGCAUUUGCUCUUGCAUUUGCUCUAUGUCUUGUUUCAUUUUGACCCGGUUUUGCUCUAAUAUUUGUUCAACCUCCUCUAAAGAAAACAUAGUUUGAGAAGGUCCUCCAGGAUGAGCUGAUGUGCAUGAGAAAGAGGUAGUUGGAGUUCCAAAUUUUGCAAUAUCAGAAGAUCCAAAAUCAUAAACCCUCCCUUUACUACUUCCAGAAAUUUCCAUCCACUUAUUCAAAUCAAAAGCAGACUGACUAUCACAAUUGUCAUUCACAUUUUCAGNN
Molecule: long non-coding RNA, 561 nt
Filed under: Manihot esculenta (cassava)
Lineage: Eukaryota; Viridiplantae; Streptophyta; Magnoliopsida; Malpighiales; Euphorbiaceae
Description: long non-coding RNA (MESC_LNC009432)
Source: RNAcentral